GAUGAACGCUGGCGGUAUGCUUAACACAUGCAAGUCGAACGGUCACUUCGGUGAUAGUGGCGGACGGGUGAGUAACGCGUGAGAAUCUGUCUUCAGGUCGGGGACAACAGUUAGAAAUGACUGCUAAUACCGGAUGUGCCUUUGGGUGAAAGAUUUAUUGCCUGAAAAAGAGCUCGCGUCAGAUUAGCUAGUAGGUGGUGUAAGAGACUACCUAGGCUCCGAUCUGUAGCUGGUCUGAGAGGACGAUCAGCCACACUGGAACUGAGACACGGUCCAGACUCCUACGGGAGGCAGCAGUGGGGAAUUUUCCGCAAUGGGCGAAAGCAUGACGGAGCAAUACCGCGUGAGGGACGAAGGCUUUUGGGUCGUAAACCUCUUUUCUCAAGGAAGAUGAUGACGGUACUUGAGGAAUAAGCAUCGGCUAACUCUGUG
RNAcentral lists this ribosomal RNA (432 nucleotides) under uncultured bacterium. RNAcentral's name for it is "partial 16S ribosomal RNA". It matches the Rfam family "Bacterial small subunit ribosomal RNA", at positions 28 to 507 of the family's 1533-position model. The record is from RNAcentral.